RNAcentral lists this ribosomal RNA (468 nucleotides) under uncultured bacterium. Its description in RNAcentral is "partial 16S ribosomal RNA". It matches the Rfam family "Bacterial small subunit ribosomal RNA", at positions 28 to 507 of the family's 1533-position model. The record is from RNAcentral.
GACGAACGCUGGCGGCGUGCUUAACACAUGCAAGUCGAACGGAAAGGCCCGGCUUUUGUGGGGUGCUCGAGUGGCGAACGGGUGAGUAACACGUGAGUCACCUGCCCUUGACUUUGCGAUCACUUCAGGAAACUUGGGCUAAUACCUGUUAGGAGCUCCUGCUGCAUGGUGUGGGUUGGAAAGUUUCGGCGGUUGGGGUUGUACUCGCGGCUUAGCGGCCUGUUGGUGGGGUAGUGGCUUACGAAGGCUGUGACGGGUAGCCGGCCUGAGAGGGUGACCGGCGACAUGGGGACGGAGAUACGGGGCAGAAGCCUAGGGGAAGCAGCAGUGGGGAAUAUUGCACAGUGGGCGGAAGCCUGAUGCAGCAACGCCGCGUGCGGGAUGACGGCCUUCGGGUUGUAAACCGCUUGCGCCUGUGACGAAGCGGGAGUGACGGUAAUGGGUAAAGAAGCACCGGCUAACUACGUG